GACGAACGCUGACGGCGUGCUUAACACAUGCAAGUCGAACGGAAAGGCCCUGCUUUUGUGGGGUGCUAGAGUGGCGAACGGGUGAGUAACACGUGAGUAACCUGCCCUUGACUUUGGGAUAACUUCAGGAAACUGGGGCUAAUACCGGAUAGGAGCUCCUGCUGCAUGGUGGGGGUUGGAAAGUUUCGGCGGUUGGGGAUGGACUCGCGGCUUAUCAGCUUGUUGGUGGGGUAGUGGCUUACCAAGGCUUUGACGGGUAGCCGGCCUGAGAGGGUGACCGGCCACAUUGGGACUGAGAUACGGCCCAGACUCCUACGGGAGGCAGCAGUGGGGAAUAUUGCACAAUGGGCGGAAGCCUGAUGCAGCAACGCCGCGUGCGGGAUGACGGCCUUCGGGUUGUAAACCGCUUUCGCCUGUGACGAAGCGUGAGUGACGGUAAUGGGUAAAGAAGCACCGGCUAACUACGUG
Molecule: ribosomal RNA, 468 nt
Filed under: uncultured bacterium
Lineage: Bacteria
Description: partial 16S ribosomal RNA
Rfam family: Bacterial small subunit ribosomal RNA
Source: RNAcentral